Long non-coding RNA from Xenopus laevis (African clawed frog), 457 nucleotides. RefSeq lists it as uncharacterized. The record is from RefSeq and is a predicted model, not a curated record. The transcript is spliced from 3 exons. NCBI's taxonomy places the organism in Eukaryota, Metazoa, Chordata, Amphibia, Anura, Pipidae.
UUGAGUUCCUGCAUUUUCACAGAGCUGGCUCAGGAGACACAUACAGUUCACAUGAGUCUUUUUUUAUACUGACACUUGCAUGACAGCAUGGCUUUAUACAGCUACGAAAAAUAAGGCAAAGUCAUUAAGAUGAAGGAGCUCAUUCAUUGGCGCUAUCCUGUAAAAGCUUUAAUCAUUCUUCUCGUAACUGCUGAACUUGCCGCUUUAUCAGAUUUAGACUGUAAAGAACUCACACAAUGCAAAGUGGAAAUAACCAGGUUGCAGUCCUUUGUACAAAUGACUAACACAAAUAUCCCAGCAUUAGAAAACUUCACAUGGUGCUUGGAUUUAUCACGUGCUGUUAACACCAGCACUUGGACAGCAUUUUCAUAUGUGGUUGCAAAUAAAGAUUAUGACAAAAACCCUGAACUUGGAUUUGGCGGUUUUAACAACAAGCUUGUGCUAUUUCAUUUGGAAA